Molecule: ribosomal RNA, 225 nt
Filed under: uncultured bacterium
Lineage: Bacteria
Description: partial 16S ribosomal RNA
Rfam family: Bacterial small subunit ribosomal RNA
Source: RNAcentral
UGAGUAAUACAUCGGAACGUGUCUUCUAGUGGGGGAUAACUGCCCGAAAGGGCAGCUAAUACCGCAUGAGACCUGAGGGUGAAAGCGGGGGAGUCGCAAGACCUCGCGCUGGAAGAGCGGCCGAUGUCCGAUUAGCUAGUUGGUGAGGUAAAGGCUCACCAAGGCGACGAUCGGUAGCUGGUCUGAGAGGACGACCAACCACACUGGGACUGAGACACGGCCCAG